GACGAGGGAUCCUAGCGUUGCUCGGAAUUAUUGGGCGUAAAGCGGGUGUAGGUGGCUUGGUAAGUCGGGUGUGAAAGCCCAGGGCUCAACCCUGGAAGUGCAUUCGAUACUGCUGAGCUUGAGUGCGAGAGAGGUUAAUAGAAUACCUGGUGUAGUGGUGAAAUACGUAGGUAUCAGGUGGAACACCGGAGGCGAAGGCGGUUAACUGGCUCGACACUGACACUGAGACCCGAAAGUGCGGGGAUCAAACAGG
Molecule: ribosomal RNA, 253 nt
Filed under: uncultured bacterium
Lineage: Bacteria
Description: partial 16S ribosomal RNA
Rfam family: Bacterial small subunit ribosomal RNA
Source: RNAcentral